RNAcentral lists this transfer RNA (66 nucleotides) under Ophioplinthus gelida. RNAcentral's name for it is "tRNA-Cys". The record is from RNAcentral. Lineage: Eukaryota; Metazoa; Echinodermata; Ophiuroidea; Amphilepidida; Ophiuridae.
AACUAUAUAGUGUAAAAAAGCACCACUGGUUGCAAACCAGUAAGUGGAUAUACUCUCCUGUAGUUU